This 282-nucleotide ribosomal RNA is filed under the name uncultured prokaryote. RNAcentral describes it as "partial 16S ribosomal RNA". It matches the Rfam family "Bacterial small subunit ribosomal RNA", at positions 524 to 803 of the family's 1533-position model. The record is from RNAcentral.
UACGUAGGGGGCGUAGCGUUAUCCGGAAUUACUGGGCGUAAAGGGUGCGUAGGUGGUUUCUUAAGUCAGAGGUGAAAGGCUACGGCUCAACCGUAGUAAGCCUUUGAAACUGGGAAACUUGAGUGCAGGAGAGGAGAGUGGAAUUCCUAGUGUAGCGGUGAAACGCGUAGAUAUUAGGAGGAACACCAGUUGCGAAGGCGGCUCUCUGGACUGUAACUGACACUGAGGCACGAAAGCGUGGGGAGCAAACAGGAUUAGAUACCCUGGUAGUCCCUGAGCGGG